Molecule: small RNA, 178 nt
Filed under: Arsenophonus endosymbiont of Aleurodicus floccissimus
Lineage: Bacteria; Pseudomonadati; Pseudomonadota; Gammaproteobacteria; Enterobacterales; Morganellaceae
Description: IS009
Source: RNAcentral
AGAAAGAAUUAAUCGCAGAGGCUGAGAAUGAAAAAAAGGGGCUAAUGCAGAAUGCAACGGAGGUGAUUAUCCCGUUGCAAGAUGCCGUUGAUUUGGAGAUGGCGACGGAAGAAGAGAAGCAAAAACUCACAGCCUGGAAAAAAUAUCGCGUACUGCUUAAUCGUGUCGAUACCUUAAA